GCGCACCAGUCGAGAAUAUUCGGCAAUGGGCGAAAGCCUGACCGAGCGACGCCGCGUGCGGGAUGAAGGCCUUCGGGUUGUAAACCGCUUUUCUAAGGGAAAAAAUUGUGUCUCACUGUUGUUUGGAGAAAAAAAUAAUAAGAAUAAGGUGGAUGGCCGUAGAGUUCCGUGACUUCCGCAGGUUUUCAUAAAAAUACCAAAUUACAGUGAGGCACAAAUUGAUGGUACCUUAGGAAUAAGAGGUUGCUAACUCCGUGCCAGCAGCAGCGGUAAUACGGAGACCUCAAGCGUUAUCCGGAUUUAUUGGGCGUAAAGGGUGUGUAGGCGGAUGUGAUAGUCAGAUGUUAAAUUAUGGAGCUCAACUCCAUAGCCGCAUUUUGAAACGUCACUUCUAGAGACAGGCAGAGGCUGGUGGAACUCAUGGUGUAGCAGUGAAAUGCGUUGAUAUCAUGGGGUACACCGGAAGGCGAAGGCAUCCAGCUGGGCCUGUUCUGACGCUGAGACACGAAGGCGUGGGUAGCGAACGGG
This 528-nucleotide ribosomal RNA is filed under the name uncultured microorganism. RNAcentral's name for it is "bacterial SSU rRNA". It matches the Rfam family "Bacterial small subunit ribosomal RNA", at positions 346 to 776 of the family's 1533-position model. The record is from RNAcentral.